RNAcentral lists this microRNA (23 nucleotides) under Eptesicus fuscus (big brown bat). Its description in RNAcentral is "efu-miR-9230c". Lineage: Eukaryota; Metazoa; Chordata; Mammalia; Chiroptera; Vespertilionidae. The record is from miRBase by way of RNAcentral.
UGAACUCCAGUUCCAGGCUAGAC